CUGCCCUACUUGAUUGAUGGGACUCACAAGAUCACCCAGAGCAACGCCAUCCUGCGGUACAUUGCCCGCAAGCACAACCUGUGUGAGUAGAUUUGGUUGCAAGAUGCGGGGAGGGACCGUGGCCUCCUCCUCGGCUUGGCUGGGCUGGGCUGUGAGGCUGAGAGAGAAUCUGCUUUACGAGGGUAGGCGGGG
RNAcentral lists this small RNA (192 nucleotides) under Pan troglodytes (chimpanzee). RNAcentral's name for it is "retained intron". Lineage: Eukaryota; Metazoa; Chordata; Mammalia; Primates; Hominidae. The record is from RNAcentral.